UUAUUGUGCAAAGGGAGCAUAAUAAUUAGUCUUUUAAUUGAAGACUGGAAUGAAAGAGUAAACCAAGAAAGAAAUCUUUCUUUAGAGAGUGAAGUCUUUUUAGUAAAAAGGCUAAAAUAAUACUUAAAGACGAGAAGACCUAAAACUUUUAUAUUAAACACUUUGUAAGAGCUAUAUUUUGCUGGGGUGGCAGGGGAAAUUGACUUCUCUAAGAAAACUAAGAUUAAGGCUAAUAACCAAAAAUUUUGAAAAAGGAAUAAGCUUGAGGGAUAACAGCUUAAUUUGUUUUGAAAGUUCAAAUUGACAAGCAAGUUUAGGACCUCGAUGUUGAAAUAAAAGCCCUUUAUUUGUGCAAA
This 356-nucleotide ribosomal RNA is filed under the name Hottentotta saulcyi. Its description in RNAcentral is "partial 16S ribosomal RNA". Lineage: Eukaryota; Metazoa; Arthropoda; Arachnida; Scorpiones; Buthidae. The record is from RNAcentral.